RNAcentral lists this non-coding RNA (113 nucleotides) under Micrococcus sp. RNAcentral's name for it is "TPP sequence". It matches the Rfam family "TPP riboswitch aptamer (THI element)". From Rfam's summary of the family: Vitamin B(1) in its active form thiamin pyrophosphate (TPP) is an essential coenzyme that is synthesised by coupling of pyrimidine and thiazole moieties in bacteria. RNAcentral also lists the same sequence under 1 other name. Lineage: Bacteria; Bacillati; Actinomycetota; Actinomycetes; Micrococcales; Micrococcaceae. The record is from RNAcentral.
GGGCACCCCCACGGGAGUCCCACGGCACGGGACUGAGAUCGGGCUGAUGCCGCCUGACAACCGUCUGAACCUGUCCGGAUCAUGCCGGCGAAGGAAGAAGGAGAGUGAUGGCG